CAUGAAAACGCAGAUGGCGGUGGAGUGCACCUUCAGAAAGCAGUGUAGGAUAGGUGCGAGGUGGUGACACGCAACGACCAAUCCUAAAAGACCACUCUUUCGUCUAAGGAUGCCUAAUCGCCGCACCGAUCAUUCACACGUGGGCCAGGGGUGGGGGGAUACUGCAUGAUGGGUAGUUUAUAUGGGACGGAUGCCUCCUAAAGAGAACAGAGGAGUGCGAAGAUAGGCUCAAGCGUUGAUUCUGCUCGUGAGCGUAAUGGUAUAAGUCUGCCGACUGUGAGACCGACUGGUCGAACAUAGACGAGAGUCGACCAUAGUGACCUGGGAGUCACGUGUGGAAGGGCUCUCGCUCAACACAUCAAAGAUGCGUCAGGGAUAACAGGCUGAUGACUCCCAGGAGUUAUUGUCUAAUGCAAUGCGCGAUAUAUGUCAUGUAGCAAGGUGCCCGAAAUCUAUUGUAUUAGGAAUUUUGGAUUGCGAUUUCCUUGGGUGACAUAGGGCUGCUCGAGCUUGGUC
RNAcentral lists this non-coding RNA (516 nucleotides) under Triticum urartu. Its description in RNAcentral is "Bacterial large subunit ribosomal RNA". It matches the Rfam family "Bacterial large subunit ribosomal RNA", at positions 2096 to 2537 of the family's 2925-position model. The record is from Rfam by way of RNAcentral. Lineage: Eukaryota; Viridiplantae; Streptophyta; Magnoliopsida; Poales; Poaceae.